UACGGGGGGGACGAGCGUUGUUCGGAUUUACUGGGCGUAAAGGGCGCGUAGGCGGACCUUCAAGUCGGAUGUGAAACCUGUUGGCUUAACUGACAGCCUGCACCCGAUACUGUUGGCCUUGAGUACGGGAGAGGAGAGCGGAAUUCCUGGUGUAGCGGUGAAAUGCGUAGAUAUCAGGAAGAACACCGGUUGCGAAGGCGGCUCUCUGGACCGAUACUGACGCUCAAGCGCGAAGGCUUGGGGAGCAAACAGGAUUAGAUACCCGCGUA
This 269-nucleotide ribosomal RNA is filed under the name uncultured prokaryote. RNAcentral's name for it is "partial 16S ribosomal RNA". It matches the Rfam family "Bacterial small subunit ribosomal RNA", at positions 524 to 792 of the family's 1533-position model. The record is from RNAcentral.